UACAGAGGUCCCAAGCGUUACUGAGAAUCACUGGGUUUAAAGCGUGUGUAGGCGGGCCGUUAAGUGUCUUGUGAAAUCCCCCGGCUCAACCGGGGAAUUGCUGGGCAUACUGGCGGUCUUGAGCGAUCUAGGGGCAGAUGGAACAAGUGGUGGAGCGGUGAAAUGCGUAGAUAUCACUUGGAACGCCAAAGGUGAAGACAGUCUGCUGGGGAUCUGCUGACGCUGAGACACGAAAGCCAGGGGAGCGAACGGG
RNAcentral lists this ribosomal RNA (253 nucleotides) under uncultured bacterium. Its description in RNAcentral is "partial 16S ribosomal RNA". It matches the Rfam family "Bacterial small subunit ribosomal RNA", at positions 524 to 776 of the family's 1533-position model. The record is from RNAcentral.